UCCGGGGUAGCUCAAUUGGUAGACGCGCUCGGCUGUUAACCGAGAGGUUGUGGGUUCGAGUCCCACCCCCGGAG
RNAcentral lists this transfer RNA (74 nucleotides) under Acidobacteriota bacterium. RNAcentral's name for it is "tRNA-Asn". It matches the Rfam family "tRNA". From Rfam's summary of the family: Transfer RNA (tRNA) molecules are approximately 80 nucleotides in length. Their secondary structure includes four short double-helical elements and three loops (D, anti-codon, and T loops). RNAcentral also lists the same sequence under 2 other names. Lineage: Bacteria; Pseudomonadati; Acidobacteriota. The record is from RNAcentral.